RNAcentral lists this ribosomal RNA (253 nucleotides) under uncultured bacterium. RNAcentral's name for it is "partial 16S ribosomal RNA". It matches the Rfam family "Bacterial small subunit ribosomal RNA", at positions 524 to 776 of the family's 1533-position model. The record is from RNAcentral.
UACGUAGGGACCGAGCGUUGUCCGGAAUCAUUGGGCGUAAAGAGCGUGUAGGCGGCCUUUUAAGUCCUGCGUGAAAUCCUGCGGCUCAACCGCAGACGGUCGUGGGAAACUGGAAGGCUAGAGUGCGGGAGAGGAGAGUGGAAUUCCCGGUGUAGCGGUGAAAUGCGCAGAUAUCGGGAAGAACACCCGUGGCGAAGGCGGCUCUCUGGAACGCAACUGACGCUGAGACGCGAAAGCGUGGGGAGCGAUCCGG